Long non-coding RNA from Hippocampus comes (tiger tail seahorse), 815 nucleotides. RefSeq lists it as uncharacterized. The transcript has 2 exons. The record is from RefSeq and is a predicted model, not a curated record. Lineage: Eukaryota; Metazoa; Chordata; Actinopteri; Syngnathiformes; Syngnathidae.
CCUUUACCAUUUAUUUACUUUUUUUUUGUUGUUCCUAGGUUUUACCGGACUUGUUUGACUUUGGAGAAUUUAUGUCGACAUAAACUUUUGGGGGCGUUUCACUUUGGUGAUUCCGCUAUCUCUAAAAAAUAAAUAAAUAAACACAUGAUCAAUAAACACAUUGCUGUCAAUUAAACAUUCAUGGUUACUUUUGAACACUUUUGUCACCCUCAUUCAGGAACAAGUACAUUGCACAUCAUUGGCUUGUGUAUAUAUGUGUGUGUGUGUGUGUGUGCUAAAGUGCACACCCACCCCCACACAAGAGACCAUGUGAGGGUAUCAGGUGGUAGAAUGUACAGACGAUACCAGCAACGUUGGACUACAGUAUAAGGCAGCCAAAAUACGCCACAACAGACACACAAACGUCACACGCCAGUCACGUAUCGCAACAGAAAAGUGCUUCCGGCUCACAAAAGUUCACCACGAGGAAUAACGCGCACCCCUUUAUGAGUUACGCGCACAUGUUGAAAAAUACAUUCAAGUUGACACACGAUACUUUGGGGAGGGGAGGGGCAAAGUUUGGGGCUCGAGGGACAGUUAGGACACCUUAUUUAAAAAAAAUAAACUAAUCAUAAUAAUGUAAUUCAUAUUCCCGAUUUAAAAGAUAAAACUGGGAUUGAUUCUCAAUUUUAAUGCUAUUAUUUAUAAUUAACCCAAGUGUAAUUAUUUAGCCGAUUAUUGACCAGGAUAAAUAACAGCAACUAAAUCUCAAAUUGUAAACUAAAAAAAAUGCUAACAAUACAUCAUUCUGUGAUCAAUAAAAAAAACAAUUUUAA